UCAAGCCUGGCUCAUGGGUUGGGCUUGGGUUUUGAAUUUUCUAAAAAAACCCUGCCCACCCCAGCCCGAUAUUUUCUCUCUUCUCUUUAAAGCCCGGCCAGACUUGGCCCAAACCCAUUAAAUUUGAACCGAACUAGCCCAUCCCGGCCCAUUGACAAGCCCUAGUCAUAUCUAGCAAAAUCUAUUGAAAAAUAGAUGAAGAUAGGUAGAACAAACAUUGGGCAAUGCCCAUCCAAACAAAGAUAAAAAUAAAAUAAAAACACGAGUGUAAAGGGUGAAGUCUAUAAUGCAAAAGAUCUAUGGUCACAUGGUAUAGCUUCUUGAAACUUGAGCUCUAAUCAAACUCGUAAUUCACCAGAAAACUAAAGGCAGAAAAUUUCCACUAUAAUUUUUUGGUGCAUCACACAUCAAACUUUUCAAUGGAAUUAAGCUCUAAUUGAAUCAAUGAUUUACCAGAAAGCUAAUUUGAGAAGCAAACUCUCCAACUAGUUUUUUGGUACAUCAUCGACCGACUAGAGCUCACCUCCAGCUUUACCAAUCAAAGGAAGUAAUAAUUUUUGUGCAAACUCUGGUCUAUAUGCAUUAGUAUAUAUAGGGGGUCUUAGUGGAUGCAUAAAGAAUAUUGGCCAAUAUAUAAAAAUAAACAAAAAUAAAUUUCAAUAGUAAUCUACUAAUUAAGCUAACGUCAUUAAUGUUGUGUAUAUUUGGAAUGAUAAUUUUUUUUUGUUGGUAAAUAUCACGAGGUGUCCCCACACCGAAAGAGAGGAUUAAUUCCCGCUCGGGAUUCAGCUUGCCCCUAACCACAAAAUGCUUCCAACAGGUUAGGAAUGAUAAUUUUAAAUUUAAUGAAAUAAUUGUCAUUUUUAAAUGGCAAGUAAUUGUAAAAGUUGUACUGUAAAUAUGUUUCCUAAGGAGUUGAUAAAAAGGUAUAAACAUUGCAAAUUAAAAUUGCUCUGCAUGCAUUCAGUGUACAAUGUACCUAUUAUAACUUACUUUCUAUCAAGGUUUAAAAUAUCGAUGAUUUCAAAAAUAACGAUAGUUCAAAAACACGGAAAUUUCAAUAGAAAAAUCGGGAAAUUAUCGAUAUCGAUAAAAAUGAAAUAAAAAUCACGAAAAUUGUAAAAAAAAAAAAACUUGAAAAAUUUUCUUGAAACUUUCAAGGAUAUUUAUUUAGUUAAUUAUCUAUUACUUCAUCACAAAAAAUUGGAAGGAAAUGCAUUGCAUGAUAGGUUUAAUAGAUUUAAGUUGAUUAUAUAACAUUGCAUCAAAUUUGAGUUAUUUACACUAACAUCCCCUGAGGUUUUUGGCUUUUUCACAAAACUCCUUGAGGUUUUAGAAAUUACAGGAACACUCCAUGACGUUUUAAAUUGUUUUCACAGAACUCAUUUUCAUUGAUCUAAUACAAAAAUUCUCCAAAUGACAAAGUUGACAUUUGAGAUUAGAUUACAUAUACUUCAUUGAGGUUAAUUUUGUCAUUUGCAUACGUUUUUAUUUCAAAUCAUCAAUUUUGGACAAACAAUCAACAAAAAAGGGUUUUGUGAAAACAAACUGAAACCUCAGGGGGUGUUCGUGUAAUUUUUGAGACAUGAGGGGGUUUUGUGAAAACAUAAGAAACCUCAGGGGAGUGUUAGUGUAAAUAACUCUUCAAAAUUUUCACAGUCUUCAUCAUCUUGAUAUUAUCGAUAUUACAACGAUAUUAUAGCCUUAAUGUGGCCAAAUGUUGCUGAAGUGUGAAAGAAAUUAUCGAUGUCAAUAUUUUUCGAUAUUAUCGAUACUUAUACGAUAUGUGUAUGGAUAUGUUCCAAAAUAUCCUAAACCGGAAAAAACGAUCAUAUCCUCGAUAUUAUCGAUAUUUUAGUCCUUGCUUUCUAUUUAGUCAAUUUUCUUUUCUUGUACUUUCCUUAAUUUGAAAAUACUCUAGUGAUGAAUUUUCUUUCUUGUAAGAGAGUGAUUUUGUCUACCAUCUCAUCAUAUUAUAUUUUCCUUAACAGAACUUGCUACAACACCAAUAACAAACAGGUUGGUUUUGUACCAAACACGAAAAUGAAAAAUUCACGAAAAUUUAGAUUAUUGAAAUAUGAGAAGAAAAAAAAAAGUAACCUUGCAAACAUAAUAGACUUCAUUAUUGUGGUGCAAGGUUUUCUACAUGGAACUCGUGAAUAUGGCUCUAAUUGUAUUGAAGGUUGAAUAAUUAGCUAAAAGACUUGAAACCUUUUGGGCAAGGUUGAAUGGUUAGCUAAAACACAAAGGCAAACACCGAUUUUGUGCUUACGCUUAAGAUUUCUCAAAGAAUGUGGCCCUAUUAGCACCGCCAUAUUGCUAAACUUAAUAAUGUACCCUAUUCGCUCUCUUUCUCUAUGAGAACUAAAGAAAAACUCCAUAGAGGAGGAGGAGGAAGAAGUGUCAUUGUUCCUCCUCCCCCUCAUUUCUCUUUGCAUUUUUCUUUUUGGGUUAGUAAAUAUGUCAACUGGGGCGUUUUGAAUAAGAAGCCUCUUGUGGUGAUUUCUUCUGAGCCAUACUCAGAUUGAAGUUUCCCAUAACCUAUUUUGGGCUAUGUUCUCACUUCUCCCAAAACCCGCUCUUUAACGUUGCUCAUAUUAUAUAAAUUUGGUUCUACAUUGUAUUUGACGGAGUUUGCUGCAAAUCAUCCAAUUGUUCUUUGUCAAGUUCUUGUUUUGGCAUAUUUAUACGUUCUUAUGCAUAAGUAAAUCACUGGAAACCAUGCUUUCUUUAGAUCUGUUACGGAUUUUGUUCUCGCUUCAAGAUUUUAUGCUAUGGUGGGUAUGGCUGCAAUGGUGGUUCUUCAUGUGGUGGUGGUAGGUUCAUUUAGGCUCCUGGGUUGCUUUAAGGUUUUGUUUUGGGUUUGUGGGCUUUGUUUGGGAUUAUGCUUAAUUGUGGUGAUGUGGACUAAUAGUUUUAGUGCGGCUUUUGUCCCCUUUAGUUUUGUUUUUAGCAUGUUAGUUUGUUGCCUUCUUGGAAUUUGUGCUUUAGAUUCAUGUUGAUGUUGUUGAUUAUAUAGUUAAAGUUUAUCGAAUGAAGUUUCUCUUUGAUAAAAAAAAAAACCUUUAUUAUAAAAAAUGUACUCUAAUAUAAAAUUGCAUUCGAGGGCAACAUUUUUGUCAAAAAAGAAAAAACAAAGUAGAUAUUGUGGAUUUCGUGCGUAGAUCUUGUCAUGCUUAUGUGGCCAAAUCUAGGCAAAUAUGGUGGCUGGCCCAAGCAUAGGCAACAUAGCUAGGAUUUUAUAUUUUGGGGGCAAAAAUGUCAAACACAAAGUUUAGUUAUAUAUUGUUUUUUGAGCUAUUGAGUAAACUAUUAAAGAACUAGUGAAUACUUCAACUGGGGCAUAAGCCUAUGCCCCCCACAGUUAUCAAAGUUGUAUUCCAAUAUGAAUCUACAUUUAUGAAGAAAAAAAACUAUUCAUUUUAGUUUAAUACUCUUGUAGAUACGGACAUUCUUCAAUAAAUAUUUUAUGUUAAGAAUUAGUUAUAUACUUCUAAUCUUGAUCGUUGGAUUGUAUUCAUUAAAUAUGUUGGUAAUAUCUUAGAUGUAAUUCAAUGGCCGAAAUUAGAAAUAUGUAACCAAUCCUUAACUUAAAUACUUAUUGAAGAAUGUUUCUAUCUACAAGAUUACUAAAUUGAAAUGAGUGGUUUUCUUUCAUAAAUGUAGUAUGAUUUUACUACUAUAUUUAUAUUGGAAUACAACUUUAAUAAGGGUGGGGGCCAUAGGCUUACGUAUAUCAAUUUUUCUUUUUAGUUGUUACCACACCCAAUAUAUACAUUGAAAGGGAUUAAAUAAAUAGUAAAUUGAGCUUAGACCUAUAAAAUUCAUUUUAAAUCACCUAAAACCCUUUCCUUUAGUUUUCUAUUUAAAAUAUCCAAUUUUUUCAAAUAAUACCCGAUGACUAGGAUCCAACUAAACAAGUUACCUAAUAUAACUUAAAAUCUGAUUUAUUGUAUUUUUCGGAUUCCAAAACUACCCCUAUUUAUGAGUUAAUGUGUUAUUAGAGGUGUAACUAAUGACACACGUUGAAUUUGGAAAGAUCUCCAAAAGGUUGUAAUGGAUGUAGGAAUUAAUUUAGAAACUUAUUUGAAAUUAAAUAUUAAAUUAAAUAUUAACGUAUUAGUAAUCUAUUUUACGACUAUUAAUCUACUUUUGAAUUAAUGUUGUUUUCCUUUUAUGAAUUACAGCUAGUAAACUAUUUAACGUAUUAGUAAUUUAAAUUCAAUAUUAAAUUUAGGAAUUAAUGUUGUUUUUCUUUUAUGAAUUAUACGACUAGUAAUCUAUUUUAUUAUAAUUUUAUGAAUAAUAGUGUACAUUUUAAUUAAGUUGAAAAAUAAUUUGAUAAUCUAUUUAUUAUUAUUUUUAAAUUUUUUUUUUUUAAAAUGAACCUAUUUUUUCUCUAAAUAAUGUACCUUUUUUUCUCUAAUAAAGCACCUAUUACUUUUUUUUUUGAAAAAUAAUUUGAUCAUCUUUUUAUUGUUUGUUUUAUGAAUUUUUUUUUUUAAAAUGAACCUAUUUUUUCUCUCCAAAUAAUGUACCUAUUUUUUUCUCCAAUAAUGUACCUAUGUUGAAAAAUAAUUUUAUAAUCUAUUUAUUUAUUUAUUUAAAUGAACCUAUUUUUUCUCUAAAUAAUGUACCUUUUUUUUCUCUCUAAAUAAAGCACCUAUUACUUGUUUUGUGAAAAAUAAUUUGAUCAUCUUUUCAUUGUUUGUUUUAUGAAAACAAUUUUUUUUUUUAAAUGAACCUAUUUUUUCUCUCCAAAUAAUGUACCUAUUUUUUUCUCUAAUAAUGUACCUAGUAAAACAAUUUACCUAUAGUAUAAUGAACCUAUAUUUUUUUUUUCUAAAUUUUGUAUCUAUUUUUUUCUCUAAAUAAUAUACCUAGUAAAACAAUUUACCUAGUAUAAUGAAUCUAUUUUUUUCUUCUAAAUUUUGUAUCUAUUUUUUUCUCUAAAUAAUGUACCUAUUUUUAAUUUAUAAAAAAAAAUGUGCAUAAAUUUCAAUUAUACAACGCACCUAUUUUCUAUAAAUUAUUAUGUACCUAUUUUUAAUUUAUGAAAAAUGUAUUACAAAGUAAUUGACCUAUAUUUUUAUACGUAUAUAUUUAUAUUUAUAUUUUUCAUAUGUACAUUAUUGGAUAUGUAAUUUACAUAUAUAUUUUUUUUUGGUUUGCAAUUUUAGGGGGCAAUAUGUUGGAGGGAAUGACAACCAAAAGAAAUAGGGUGAUUGAUAUUAUAUUAAUAGGGAGUUUUAAUUACAAUUAUGACAGUUAAUGAAAUGCUUGGAAUAAAUUAUAAAUAAAAUAUGAAGUUUGAUGGCAAGGAUGUAAAAACAUAGGAAUACUAUGACCUCUUAUAUCCUACUGGUCAUUUAAGUUUGAAAUUGAGUUUUACACAUAGAUUUAUUGAAUGAUGGGUAUAUGUCUAGGAAAUAGAAAUUGUAGGGGCCUAUAUUGGACAAGCCCUUAAAUAAAUUGGGGGGCUAAGAGCAUCUCCAGGAUAGUCUCUAAAUUUUAGCCAAAUUUUAGCUGAAAUGGUUAGAAAGCUAUUAUAGCAAACUACUAAAAAUGAUCUCUAUUUUGGCUAAUCUAUAAUAUUUUAUUAUUUCUCUCUCUUACUCUCUAAAUUAAAAGUUUAUUAAAAAAUCAAAAAGUAAGAGGUGAGAGAGGGUUGUAGGCCUAGGGAGAGAGAAGAGGAAGAAAUGGAAAACCCUCAAUUUCUCUCUCCUCCUCUCUAAAUGUAAAGAGCCACCAAACUCAAAUAGGGAGUUCUCCAAAAUAGAGAGCCAGAUAGCAAGUCUGCUGGAGUUGCAUUUUGCCCUAAUUCUAGUCAAAAUGGCUUUGCUUGAGAUUCUCUAAGGCCUUAGCAUAGCUUUGCGCCUAUGCCCAAGGAUGGGGUGGGGUAUAAGUUGUGUCCUCCAUGGCUAAUUGGUAUAUCCAAAACAAUUAGUGCAGAUAUAGGGAACAACAUAAGUUUAGCAAGACAUGGGUAUAUCUAGUCGUACUCGAGCAGAUCUAGCUAGCUACACCUGAAUAGCUCUGGACGAAACUGUGGGAACCGAAUUAAAUAUGAACCCUAGGUCAAGUAAUUCCUCCCAUUUCGGGAUUAUUUGACCUAAUUGAAAAUUAUUCAACCUAAUUGGGAAUUACUCAAUUUAAUUAGAGAUUACCCAAUUAAAUUGAGUGUUACCUAAUUAGGUCGAGAAUUGAUUUGAUUCCUACCACAAUUCUCAAUUAUUGGGAGUUACUUGAAUUAAUUGGGAGGUUAUUUGAUUCAGAUUGGGUGUAUUUGACUUAAUUAAGGGUUUGAUUAAUCAAAUCCGUAAAUACACCAACCUCACCAACCUCACUAACCUCGUCGAGGCCUCCUAUAAAUACUUGGCUACGCACAAGGAUUGAGGUACGUCAGAACUACUACUAAAAACUCUGUAGAGAUCUUCCCCUCACAGACCUUAGCCACCUCUUCUCUCUCUCUCUCUCUCUCUCUCUCUCUCUCUCUCUCUCUCUCUUUUACAUAAGGCUCUAACCGCCCGUUUUAUACUAUAAACACAUCUCCGUACCCUAUUAGCUAUUGUUUUCUAUACGAUUCAAUUGAACUAAUUUAGGCAUCGGAGGGCCUUUGGCCAACACCCCCCGGGUGUGGUCCUCUUAUUUGUUCUAUUUUGCAGGGAGAAAAAGGCGGCGAGGAAGAAAGGGGAAUCUUUCCAAUUGAAUAUUCUCGUUGGGAAAUUUGCUCCCACAAAAACUGUACAGAUCUAGCUAGAGUUGUGGAGAUCUAGCUAAAUCGGUGCAGACUUAUAUAGAUCAAGAGAAAUUUAUCCAAAUGUAGAUGAGUAUGGGAAUAUUUAACUUAAUAUGACCAUGAUGACAAAUGCUAAAUAGUCUGCAUAUGUAGUUACAUGUCGACAAAUCUAGCUGGACUUGACCAGAUCUGGCCAUAUCUAAGCCAAAUCUAGCCAGAUCUAGACACAUAUACCAGACAUACAUAGUUGAAUUAGUAAAAUUCUAACCAAAUUGGAGAAAGUCUAGGCGAACCUAGAAAUAACUAGCCAAACAUAGCCAAUCCGGCCAGAAUUGGGCAGAUCUUGUCAUAUCUAGCUAUAGUUGAUAGUCAGAUCUGUGUAGAAAUAGAGGAAGAUGGGUAGAACAAAUAUUUGGAAAUGCCUAUCAAGCCAAAAAAUAAAAUAAAAUAGAAACAAGAGGGUAAAUGGUGAAGUCUGCAAUGCAAAAUAUAUGUGGUCAUGGUGUAGCUUCUUGAAAACCUGAAAUCUAAUCGAAUUAGAGAUUCACCUGAAAACUAAAGUUGGUAAAUGUGCACUAUAAUUUUCUGAUGCAUCACUAAUCGACUAGAAUUCAUCUUCAGUUCUAGCUAUUUUGGUCGUCAACAUCAAUUUUUUCAGUGGAUUCAAGCUUAAAUCGUAUAGAUGAUUUACCAGAAAACUAAGAUGAGAAACUAAUAACUCUAACUAGUUUUUUGGUGCAUCAUCGACUGACUAGAGCCCACGUCUAGCUUUACCAAUUUGGUGAAAAGCAAUAUCCUUCACGCAAACUCUGCCCUAUAUGCACUAGUAUAUAUAGGGUGUGUUAGUGGCUCAUUUGUGAAUAUUGGCCAAUAUAUAAAAUAGAAACGUUAAUGGUAAGCUUCUGCUUCAGCUAAUGUCAUUAAUGCUAUGUAUAUUUGGAAGAGUGCUGCUAUUUUUAUCUUAAUUUUAUUUUUUUAUUCAUCUUAUCGUUCCACCUACUAUGUAAAUUCGAAAAACAGAAUCCUAUUUUUUUACCCACCGUUAUUCCUAAAAUACCCUUUAAUUAUUAAUUUAAGCAAAUUCUCUUUUCUAAUCAAUAGUAGUUGAUAUAUGGAGAGGAUCACGGACUGGAUAAAAGUUUUGAUCUAAUAUUUUAAUUUUUGGAUCGUUUAGGUUUUUUUUUUCUCUACUUAUAGCUUUUGAAAAUAUUGUGGAUAAAUGUUUUAAAGAGAAAGGUGUCAUUUAAAGGGCAAUUUUCUAUUGUGUUCCAUUUGGGCGUAAAAAGAGAAAGGUGAAAGGAAUAGAAACAACACCUUGUAGACCCAAAAAAAGAAUGAAAAUAAUUGAACUACUGAACAUGGAAUAAAAUCAAACAAUGGACUGAAAAAUGAAGCACAUAUAUAAAACCACUUCUUUUUUUCUUUUUCUAUUUGUCAAACGGUAGAAUAGGUGGGUCACGUGAGUUGAGGUUUUUUCCCUAAGUCCUUAGAAGUCAUUUUACAAAGGAAAAAAUUUGUCUUUAAAAUGUUGAAGAUAAGGUGGUUGAAGAAAAAAGACAUUGGGUGAAAAUAGCAACACUCAUUUGGAAUCCCAAUUUUAUCGUUUUUUCGGGACUAGGAUAUUUUGAGACAUAUUCAUACACAUAUCGUAUAAUUAUUGAGAAUAUCAACGAUUAUAUCGGGAAAAUAUUGAUGUCGACAAUUUCUCACACGCUUCAACAAAAUUUGGGAAAAAUAUCACGAUAUAUGCAUGCAAUGGAAAAAAGAAAAAAAGAACCCGUAGCACACACGCAAAGGGGGAUUCAAAUCCUUGCCAUUCCACUCCUCCAACGCCUUAAUCACCAUGUUGCUAAUGUUUAAAAAUAAAGUAAUUGUAAAUGUUGUUCUAGAAAUAUGUUAACAAAAAAUUGAUGAAAAUAUUGUCACAAUAGGAAGUUUGACAGAAAUAAAUUGUUUGUCUUCGAAUUCUUAGAUUAAUCACAAGAAUAGAUAAUAUAAAAAGAGUGCUGCUAAACGAACCCUAAAAUUAACUGAGUAUGCCCUACUACCAAAUUAUUUAUUGAAUUACUCAUUUACUCCAAUAUAAAAUGACCAAAAAGGAUAUCUAAUUUUCUUCUUCUUCUUCAAAAAUUUGAGAGUCCACAAAAUCCUCAAAACCCCAUUUUUAUUUAUUUUAUCCCAUUGCCUUUCUUUUUUACUCUGAACUUAUAGAAAUCAUUUUAUUCUCAAUCCUAUUAUAAUUUAUAAGCAAGUCAGCUAAAACCCCUAUUAUUUUUUCUAUAAUUUUCAAUUGAGAGAGUAAAAUAGAGGUGUUAGCUGGAUUUGAAAUGAAAAGAAGAAAAUAUGGAAGAGAAAAGAAUACACGAUAUUUGCAGUUCCUUUUGGUUAUGUUUGUUAGGGCAAUAAUUUGCAAUGAGAAACACUUCAAAUAAUAAUAAGAAUAAUAAAAACAACUAGGCCUCCUCCAACACCUACACCGAUUAUAAGGAAUUCUACCCUAAACAAAAUGCUCCAUAACCUCAAUCCCACGCGUUCAUCUCCUCCCACCUAUCUCACUCACAGCUUGCUGCCGUCAUGGAAGUAUAUGCGGGAUGGAUUAUUAAUUACGUUGUGAACCAGUCAGAUUGGUGAUCAUUUGAUUGGAAAUAGAAGGGUUUUUUUUUUCUUUUUCUGGCUAAAAUUGGCAUCGUUGAGUGUUAUACUUGGGAUUCCUUGAUUCGAUUUCUGAAGAAGAAGAUAACUAUCGAUGUAGCUUUUGUCCGUUUGGCAAAAAUGUAUUUUUAUUUUUGAUUCACUACCAUAUAUGGCGUGACAGUUGUUUUCAUCAUUGGAUUGUAUUAUAUUUUAUGUGGCAGCUUUAUAUUAAAAGUCAAGCAGACAAAAUCCAAGGAGAUGAUUCAGAUCCAUUAAGGUGUUGUGUGAUAGAGUGUAUUAGGGUGUACUAGGGGUAUUUUUGGUAGUUAAAUAGGGUGUACUUAGUUAAUUUUAUAUUUUGAUUAAAAUAUUAAGGUGUACUUAGAUCAUAUGGUGUACUCAGUUAAUUUCAGGGUUCGUUUAGCAGCACUCUAUAAAAAUCAUCUAAUUAACAUGGUUGCUCAUCGAUUAUUCAAUAGUCAACAAAACACCCAUCUUAAUGAAAUUUCUUUAUUUUUUUUAAACUUAAGUGGUUAAGAGCACUGAUUCUUGCAUCCUCGAUCCUACCCCCUGCAUCUUAAGUAGUUAAAAUUAUUUAUAAUUUUGUAAAGAAAAAAGUUUGUCUCCUUAACUGGGGAGGAGCUCCUUCUUCCCUAAGAGCAUCCACAGUGGAGGGGUGUAUAAUGGGGUAUAUGUUAAAUAUACACCCUUUGUCGCCGGAAUCAUCUCCAAUGGGAAGAUGUAAAUUGUUGGAAAAAUACAUCACAACCAUGGAGAUGUAAAAUUAGAUGCACAUUUGCAUAUUUUUUUUACAUCCUUUGCAAGCGGGACCCACAAAAGAAAAAGGGAAAGAGAAGGAUUGGAAUUCAAAAUGGAAGGCCCAGAUUUCAUGCAAUUUGCAUUGCACUUCCAAUGGCCCAGAUUUCUACAUAGAUAUUUUUAUGUUAAUUUGUAGGUAAAAUAAUACGUUCUCCAAAUUAAAAUUUUUUUGGGUCCAUUUAGUUGGAAAAAUAAAAAUAAUCUAACACACAUAAAAAUAAUUUAAAAAAGUUAAAACACAAAAAAAAAAAAACACAAAAAAGAAUUAUCACAAACAAAUCGAAUAUGCAUCUUUGGAUUUACAUCGUUUUUCAUUGGAGCAAAAAACGUAUUUACACCCCCUGGAGGUGUAAAAAGGAUGUAAAAGUGGCUUUACACCCCAAAAAAUACACCCCCCCACUGUGGAUGCUCUAAAGGUAAAGACCCGUCCCAUGUGGGUGGCAGAAAUGUUCAAAAUGAAUGCUUCACAAACCUUAAUCUAGUCUUUAGUCUAACUCAAGUGGGUGGAAUAAUGUUGAUUGAGUCUAAGUAAAAAUCAGGUCAAUCUCUAUGUACCAUAAAAAUGUAAUUAGCUACCUUGUUUUCUUUUGGUAAAUAAAUUUUUAUUCCUCACAGUCCUAGAACCACAUCUGAAAUCAAAUGGAUUCGUUUGGAAUAAAAUUUAUUCAGCACUAGAAAUUUCAUCAUCCUUCUUUUUCUAUUAAUCAAAAUAUUCUACAAAUCACGGAAAGGGGGCGAGUUAAGUAAAUAAAUUAUAUAUGCAAUUUAUGUACACAAAAACUGUAUGUUCUCUUGUAAGACAGUCUAAAGUUUGUUUAGAUGGACAUAUUCAUCCGAAAAACCCUAGCCACACUCUCUCUUCUUCUCUAAGUCCCAAAAAAAAACUCAAUAGAGAAUAAAUGGGAGGAGGAGAAAGAAGCGUCAUUGUCCUUCCUUCCCUCUCAUCCUCCUCUUCCGUUGUCUUUUGGGUAAGUGAAUAAUUCAUUUGAGCGAUUUGAAUAACAAGCCCAUUAUGCUAAUUUCUUCUGAGCCAUUCCAUCUCUCAAAGCCCUCUCUCUAACACUUCUUAUCGUAUUCUGAGGAGUUUGCUUAAUCUGCCCAAUUGUUUUUUGCCAUGAUUGUUGGAUUGGCAUAUGUGUUCAAUGUUAUACGAAGAUAGAUCGUUGGAAACUAUGUUUUUCCCAUAUUUGUUGCAGGUUUUGAAAAAAAUCUCCAAACGAGGAAAACUGCACCAUCUCAGUUUUUCUUGGUGAUUGUACUUGGUUUUUUCCAGUAUCAAUGAAGGCUAUUUUUCCUAAUUAAAAAAAAAGGGUUAAUUUGGAAUCAAGUGGAUUUUGGACUAUAAAUUUUACCAUCCUUUUUAAACUAUAUGAAUUUGUAAGGCUCAGAUAUGAAUUUGAAAUCUAUACCACAUACAAAGUAUGUAAUUAUUAUAUAUUGAGAAUUUGAAAUUAUUUAUAUAUAGUAAUUACAACAAUAAUGACAUGAAAAAUCGAAAGUUUAUUAAGGAGGGUGUAUUCAAUUGAGAUUUUAAUGGAUUGUUUUGAAGCUUAAAAGUAAAGUGGUAUUCAAUUAUGAUUUUAAGUAAUCAAUAAAAGUUUGAUGGUACUCAAUUAGGAUUUUUAAAUAAUCAAUGCAAGUCUGGUUGUAUUCAAUUAGGAUUUUCAAAAGAUAAGAAAAGUACCAUGGUAUUCAAAACUUACUGAUUUUAAUGUAUUUUAUUAAAUAAUGUAUUGCUGAGACUUUUGAGUGUGUGACAUAAAUACCAAAUCAAAUAACAAAUCUCAGCCUCCUAUGCCUGAUUCUCAUAUAUCUUUCUUCCCCCCAUUAUUUUUUUUAUGCUUUCUGUUGUGCAAAAAGAUUAUUAAAAAAAAAUCAUAAGAGAUACGAUGGCAAGAAGAUAGGAGGGGAGAAUGUGGGUGAUCGGUUGAGAAAUGUAUAGUAUAAUUUAGUUUUCACUGCUAUUACCAGCCACCGUAUAAUAUACUUUCUUCAAAGAUAUUUUUGCACGGUAGCAGCUUCAAAAGGAGUUGAACUUGAACAAAAAAGAUUAACCUCUUCUUCAAGAUUCCAUUGCACGGUGGCUAGGGAUUUUGCAAGGUCAGCAUUUGCAGCCUCCAGUUUAGCCAAACGUACAAAGACUUCCAUUCUAGUAUUAUCAUGUUUCUGCUUCUCUAAAAAAUAAGCAGCUUCCAUGGUUUCCAUAAUGGUAUAAUUCAACAAUUCCUCCUUUUGUACCAGAAAUAGUAAUCAAUAUUUCUGCAUAUGAAUUUUUUGAAAGGAUCUCCAACUGGAAUCCUAAGAAAAACAUUUAUCUACAAACAGAGUAAAUCCAGGGAAAGCAUUAAAGUAGAUCUAUGGAGAAAAGAUUACCAUGGAUGUUUAUGGUCCGAUUUCUAGUAGUGUCUAGACAUGUAUAGUUGAAACUGGACAUACAUAACAGUAUGUGUGAAAUUAUAACCAAAUAUGGGAAAGUCUAGCGGAACCUAGACAAAACUAGCCAAACAUAUGCAAAUUCAGCCACAGACUUGGGCAGACCAACCCAAAUUUGGCUAGAUCUAGUCAUAUCUAGCAAAAUCUGUUGAAAAAUAGAUGAAGAUAGGCACAACAAACAUUGGGCAAUGCCCAUCCAAACAAAGAUAAAAAUAAAAUAAAAACACGAGGGUAAAGGGUGAAGUCUGUAAUGCAAAAGAUCUGUUGUCAUGGUGCAGCUUCUUGAAACUUGAGCUCUAAUCAAACUCGUGAUUCACCAGAAAACUUCCACAUCACGUAUCGACCAUAAUUCAUCUUCAGCAAUAAGUAAUGCUGACAUCAACAUCAAACUUUUCAAUGGAAUUAAGCUCUAAUCGGAUCAAUGAUUUACCAGAAAGCUAAUUUGAGAAGCAAACUCUCCAACUAGUUUUUUGGUACAUCAUGGACCGACUAGAGCUCACCUCCAGCUUUACCAAUCAAAGGAAGUAAUAAUUUUUGUGCAAACUCUGGUCUAUAUGCAUUAGUAUAUAUAGGGGGUCUUAGUGGAUACUUAAAGAAUAUUGGCCAAUAUAUAAAAAUAAACAAAAAUAAAUUUUAAUAGUAAUCUAAACUAAUUAAGCUAACGUCAUUAAUGUUGUG
This 13303-nucleotide long non-coding RNA is filed under the name Prunus persica (peach). RNAcentral describes it as "long non-coding RNA (PPER_LNC005161)". Lineage: Eukaryota; Viridiplantae; Streptophyta; Magnoliopsida; Rosales; Rosaceae. The record is from RNAcentral.